CCCUUAGAUGUUCUGGGCCGCACGCGCGCUACACUGACGAAUGCAACGAGCUUAUAACCUUGGCCGAAAGGUCUGGGUAAUCUCCAAAUUUCGUCGUGAUGGGGAUAGAUUAUUGCAAUUAUUAAUCUUCAACGAGGAAUGCCUAGUAAGCGCAAGUCAUCAGCUUGCGUUGAUUACGUCCCUGCCCUUUGUACACACCGCCCGUCGCUCCUACCGAUUGAAUGGUCCGGUGAAGCGUUCGGACCGUGGCCUUUGGACGGUUCGCCGUCUGUUGGCUGCGGGAAGUUCGUUAAACCAUAUCAUUUAGAGGAAGGUGAAGUCGUAACA
Molecule: ribosomal RNA, 327 nt
Filed under: uncultured eukaryote
Lineage: Eukaryota
Description: partial 18S ribosomal RNA
Rfam family: Eukaryotic small subunit ribosomal RNA
Source: RNAcentral